This 236-nucleotide long non-coding RNA is filed under the name Homo sapiens (human). RNAcentral describes it as "LNC_000586". Lineage: Eukaryota; Metazoa; Chordata; Mammalia; Primates; Hominidae. The record is from RNAcentral.
UCCGCUGAGGAGCAAGUUCCGGGUGAGCUUCCGGGGGUCGACUUUCUGAGGGGUGGAGGAAGGUGGACACAGGGAGAAGCGGCGCCGGAGGAAGGCCUCCUCCUUCAUGCUGUGGGCGCUCGGGGGCUUCUCCUACCGUGCCGCGAGCUCGGUGCUCCGGGCCGGCCGGGCGCGCGGGGGCUCCACUGGCGGCGCGGGCCUGGCUGCAGGAAAUGCCAGCAGAUGGUCCCCCCGCG